AUUCCAGCUCCAAUAGCGUAUAUUAAUGUUGUUGCAGUUAAAAAGCUCGUAGUUGGAUUUCUGGUCGGGACGUCUGGCCGGCUCCGCAAGGGGUCGUUGCAUUGACUGUACUCGUCCAUCCUCAGGUUGACUAGCUCUGGUAUUUAUUUAUCGGUGUUAGAACGCCUGUCGUUUACUGUGAACAAAUUAGAGUGUUCAAAGCAAGGUGUACUUGAAUACAUUAGCAUGGAAUAAUAAGAUAGGACUUUGGUGGUUCUUUUUAGAUAUUUUGUUGGUUUGCACGCCAAAGUAAUGAUUAAUAGGAGCAGUUGGGGGUAUUCGUAUUCAAUUGUCAGAGGUGAAAUUCUUGGAUUUAUAGAAGACGAACUACUGCGAAAGCAUUUACCAAGGAUGUUUUCAUUA
RNAcentral lists this ribosomal RNA (402 nucleotides) under Pedinellales sp. RNAcentral describes it as "partial small subunit ribosomal RNA". It matches the Rfam family "Eukaryotic small subunit ribosomal RNA", at positions 582 to 975 of the family's 1831-position model. Lineage: Eukaryota; Dictyochophyceae; Pedinellales. The record is from RNAcentral.